Acanthosepion pharaonis is the source of this 113-nucleotide non-coding RNA. Lineage: Eukaryota; Metazoa; Mollusca; Cephalopoda; Sepiida; Sepiidae. The record is from the annotation of a GenBank genome assembly.
UGACGGUCAUAUUACGUUGAAAGACCGGUCCCCGUACGAUCACCGAGGUUAAGCAACGUCGAGCCUGAUCCGUACCGAGAUGGGUGACCGUUUGGGAAUACCAGGUGAUGUAA